UCGCACCCGAAAGAAUCGAGUACACCGCGGACGUGUGUCGUUCAUUACCGCGUCGAACCCCACGCGCGGGAUGUCGGUCGCGUCGAUACCGACGUGCCCUCUUCCGCCGCGCGGGCUCGACCGUCACAGUACCCCACGGCGCAGUGCGCGCCAAGGAAAACAUAAGUAACCGACCGUGCGGCCGUCGAGACCCGUCCCCGUUCGCGGUGAGCGGGCUCGGCCGGUUCGCACGAUCGGAAGAUGGCAUAUGUCGUCUCAACACGAAAC
RNAcentral lists this unclassified non-coding RNA (267 nucleotides) under Genlisea hispidula. RNAcentral's name for it is "ITS1". The record is from RNAcentral. Lineage: Eukaryota; Viridiplantae; Streptophyta; Magnoliopsida; Lamiales; Lentibulariaceae.